This 261-nucleotide ribosomal RNA is filed under the name uncultured prokaryote. RNAcentral describes it as "partial 16S ribosomal RNA". It matches the Rfam family "Bacterial small subunit ribosomal RNA", at positions 524 to 784 of the family's 1533-position model. The record is from RNAcentral.
UACGGAGGAUCCGAGCGUUAUCCGGAUUUAUUGGGUUUAAAGGGUGCGCAGGCGGAAGAUUAAGUCGGUGGUGAAAUUUUGUAGCUCAACUGUAAAAGUGCCAUUGAUACUGGUUUUCUUGAGUGUGGAUGAAGUAGGCGGAAUUUGUGGUGUAGCGGUGAAAUGCAUAGAUAUCACGAGGAACUCCGAUUGCGCAGGCAGCUUACUAAACCAUAACUGACGCUCAGGCACGAAGGCGUGGGGAUCAGACAGGAUUAGAUA